Molecule: ribosomal RNA, 400 nt
Filed under: phytoplankton environmental sample
Lineage: Eukaryota
Description: partial small subunit ribosomal RNA
Rfam family: Eukaryotic small subunit ribosomal RNA
Source: RNAcentral
AGCUCUGUAAGCGUAUACCAAAGUUGUUGCAGUUAAAACGCUCGUAGUCGGACUUUGGCAGUUCCGGGAGUGUGCGCGUCGUGCGCAUACUUUGCGGGGACUGCUUUUGUGGUAUUGCGUGGGAUGAAGCAUUUUAAUUAAUGAACGUCCCUCCGCAACCACUUUUUACUGUGAGAAAAUCAAAGUGCUCAAAGCAGGCAUUUGCCGUGAAUGUAUUAGCAUGGAAUAAUAGAAUAGGACUUGGUUCUAUUUUGUUGGUUUGUUGGGACUGAGUAAUGAUUAAGAGGGACAGUUGGGGGCAUUUGUAUUUCGGCGCUAGAGGUGAAAUUCUUAGAUUGCCGAAAGACAAACUGCUGCGAAAGCGUCUGCCAAGGAUGUUUUCAUUGAUCAAGAACGAAAG